Molecule: ribosomal RNA, 251 nt
Filed under: uncultured bacterium
Lineage: Bacteria
Description: partial 16S ribosomal RNA
Rfam family: Bacterial small subunit ribosomal RNA
Source: RNAcentral
ACGUAGGGUGCAAGCGUUAAUCGGAAUUACUGGGCGUAAAGCGUACGCAGGCGGCUUUGCAAGACAGGUGUGAAAUCCCCGGGCCUAACCUGGGAACUGCAUUUGUGACUGCAUGGCUAGAGUUUGUCAGAGGGGGGUGGAAUUCCACGUGUAGCAGUGAAAUGCGUAGAUAUGUGGAGGAACACCGAUGGCGAAGGCAGCCCCCUGGGAUGUGACUGACGCUCAUGUACGAAAGCGUGGGGAGCAAACAG